AGGUGCAAACAAAUUAAUUGAAUAAAAUAGAGCUUGUCCUUUUGCAUUAUAAAACAAUCAAACAUUGUUUAUUUCAUCCAAAUGAGAAAAUAUGACUAAAUUUUUCAAAUUUGUUAAUGUUAUAAUCCUCAUUUUUUCCUUAUUACUUGUUGGAUGCAAUGCAUUUUAUUUAUGUACUACUUCCCUAGCUUGUCCAAGGAAAUUGUGCACCUUUCCUGAAGUUCCCAAGUGCAAAUGGUUCAUUUGUUCAUGCAUGGAUGAUGAAUAUCGUUUUUAAAUGUGAAGCUCAAAAAAAUGUGAAGCUCUAGUUAUUGUAUACCAAUGAGAUGGAUAGGACAAGAGCUAGCUUGGUUCAAAUCAUGAAGAUCUAAAUCAAGGAUUAAUGAUGAUUUAUUUCGAUGUAAAUUUUUAUACAUUACUCUUUUUUUUUUUAAUGUUUGUUAAAUACUCCAAUCAAGAACAAGAACUGGUAUCCUUCCUUCAAAAAAAAAUAAAAAAAGAACUGGCCUGAAUUACUAAAGAACUUCAUUGGAAAUAAUGAAAUAUUUCAUUUUAUUAGC
Long non-coding RNA from Trifolium pratense (red clover), 560 nucleotides. RefSeq lists it as uncharacterized. Lineage: Eukaryota; Viridiplantae; Streptophyta; Magnoliopsida; Fabales; Fabaceae. The record is from RefSeq and is a predicted model, not a curated record. The transcript is spliced from 3 exons.